CGGCGCGCCUAACACAUGCAAGUCGAGCGAGAAGGAAGCAAUUCCUGUAAAGCGGCGCACGGGUGAGUAACACGUAGGUAAUCUACCUCGAAGUGGUGGAUAAACCUUCCGAAAAGGAGGGCUAAUACAGCAUGAGACCACGGUUUUCGAAAAGAGAUUGAGGUCAAAGCGGGCCACUAUACAUAAGCUCGCGCUUCGAGAUGAGCCUGCGGCCCAUCAUGGUAGUUGGUAGGGUAAUGGCCUACCAAGCCGAAGACGGGUAGCUGGUCUGAGAGGAUGAUCAGCCACACUGGAACUGAGACACGGUCCAGACUCCUACGGGAGGCAGCAGUGGGGAAUCUUGCGCAAUGGGCGAAAGCCUGACGCAGCGACGCCGCGUGAGUGAUGAAGGCUUCGGGUUGUAAAGCCCUGUCGGAGGGGACGAAGUCUUCGGAUUGACGGUACCUUCCAAGAAAGCACCGGCUAACUCCGUGCCAGCAGCC
This 482-nucleotide ribosomal RNA is filed under the name uncultured bacterium. RNAcentral's name for it is "bacterial SSU rRNA". It matches the Rfam family "Bacterial small subunit ribosomal RNA", at positions 40 to 516 of the family's 1533-position model. The record is from RNAcentral.